GAUGAAGAACGUAGCGAAAUGCGAUACUUGGUGUGAAUUGCAGAAUCCCGUGAACCAUCGAGUCUUUGAACGCAAGUUGCGCCCGAAGCCAUCAGGUUGAGGGCACGUCUGCCUGGGCGUCACAUAUCGUUGCUCGAUGCCUAUCGCAUUGCGAUAGGACUUAGGGCGAAUGAUGGCUUCCCGUGAGCGUUGUUGCCUCGCGGUUGGUUGAAAAUCGAGUCCUUGGUAGGGUGUGCCAUGAUAGAUGGUGGUCGAGUUAGCACGACACCGAUCAUGUGCAUGCUCCCCAAAAUAUGGCCUCUGUGACCCACACGCGUCUUUUGACGCUCAUGAUGAGACCUCAGGUCAGGCGGGGCUACCCGCUGAAUUUAAGCAUAUCAAUAAGCGGAGGA
RNAcentral lists this unclassified non-coding RNA (392 nucleotides) under soil metagenome. RNAcentral's name for it is "partial contains 5.8S ribosomal RNA, internal transcribed spacer 2, and large subunit ribosomal RNA". The stretch from base 1 to 122 matches the Rfam family "5.8S ribosomal RNA", at positions 35 to 154 of the family's 154-position model. The record is from RNAcentral.